Molecule: long non-coding RNA, 1516 nt
Organism: Brassica oleracea var. oleracea
Lineage: Eukaryota; Viridiplantae; Streptophyta; Magnoliopsida; Brassicales; Brassicaceae
Exons: 9
Source: RefSeq, a predicted model, not a curated record
UUGAUCCUAUGUCGAACCCAGCAACCAAGAAUCAUACUAUCUGACGCAUCGAUUGUGUUCCACUUCGUCUUCACCAUCUUGGUUCUCCCUGAUGUCCGUUACGGUGAGCUCUUCUUGAUCAAUCAAUGGUUCUCAUUAAUUCCUUUGUAGUUUCGUUCCACCUCCCUCUCUUUAUCCUCAUAUAAAGAUUGCUCAACCGCUUCGUCUGAACUUACUUGCAAGCAAGCAAACCCGAAAGCCUCCAGCAAAAAAUCGAAAGCUCUGUCAACAAAAUCCAACCGAAAGUCCCAUGUCUCCACCGGCAAGUCUCUGUAGUUUGAAUCUAAAGUUGAAGUGCGGUAUGUGAUUGCUGUAACGUGUGAAGAUAAAUGGCUAUCAAAUACGACCUCUGAAUGAAAACAUGAAGAAGUGUCAGUAUGCCGUAAGUGUUGAGCUCUAGAAAAGGCAAAAAGGUGGUUGCGCUCUGUCAAGCUCCUUAUCUACUAGAUGACCCAAAUGUGCUUACAGUGACUCAAGAGGCCUUCCGGGAGCUAGGAAAGCCAGCUCAAGCCUUUUGUUUGUCAUUUUCAUAUCUCAGUAAUCCAGAACUCAUAUUCCUCACGAUGGAGCUAGCAAAGGUGUGAAACAAAUCUUAAACUGUGCUAUUCGCGGUGAGGGAGACGAGGCUUCAUUGGUCUGAACCGUGUAUGGCACUACGAAUGUCAUUUGAAGCAAGUCUUUUCCGAGAGCCUCACCAUUUCUCCACGAAAAAUAAAGACAUCCACAGGUUCACUGACCACCAGUUCACCAUUUCUUUCAGUCACAACUCCGUGUUGUCGGGGAUGUCAUCUUCUGUAUUAUUUUUUGCCGAGGAAGUCGAUCCCACCAGAGAAUAUAUGUUUGAUUUCGUACAAUGAUAAUGGCCAAAAAUGAAUGAUGCUUUUCACAUAUUUCUGUGUUGCCUCUCAAUGUCUCACGGAGAUUUCGUUUGACAUUCGAAGUGAAAAAUAACCAAAAGCGCAAGAAAUGAGUAAGACGAUCAGAUGUUACGCUCAUGCUAUUUUUGGCUGCUAAUUGUUUGAGGGAUAUGGAGUGCCAGGAAGCAAUAUUGAGAAGAGCAGACGAGUGCAAGUGCGACCAAGAAGCUUCACCAGAAAAGGCAAUUCAUCACAAUUUAAGUAAAAAAAAAGGAAUUAUGAUCAGAAGAAAUAAGGUGAUGAUGAGAUGAAUGCAUGUCUUAUAUGCCCUGAAGCGAUGGAUGCAGCAGAUCUAAGCUUCUUACUAUGUCCUUGCGGAUUUGUCUAUGUCUCUUCUCCUCUAUUCAGAUCAACCAAAACGAUGGACGUAGCCCACGACGGUCAGCUUCCCCAAACAAGUAUGAGAGGACAAGUAGUAACAGUGCUUUAUUUUUUAGUUAUUUCCUUAGUAUCUCAAUUGCACACAGCAUAUUGUUUGUCAACAGAGUUUGUGUUACUGACGUUGCUGCAUCUUUUGAAAGUUUGAAGCUUAAUAAAAGUGAAAGAUAGUUGAUAUGUUA